RNAcentral lists this ribosomal RNA (483 nucleotides) under uncultured bacterium. Its description in RNAcentral is "bacterial SSU rRNA". It matches the Rfam family "Bacterial small subunit ribosomal RNA", at positions 29 to 507 of the family's 1533-position model. The record is from RNAcentral.
AACGAACGCUGGCGGCGCGCCUAACACAUGCAAGUCGAACGAGAAUCCGGGGCAACCCGGUAGUAAAGUGGCAAACGGGUGAGGAAUACAUGGGUAACCUACCCUUGAGAAGGGAAUAACCCGCCGAAAGGUGAGCUAAUACCCUAUACGCUAUCUUUUUUUCGAAAAGGAUAGGAAAGCCGGGUCGAGGGCCUGGUACUCAAGGAGGGGCUCAUGUCCUAUCAGCUUGUUGGUGGGGUAACGGCCUACCAAGGCUACGACGGGUAGCUGGUCUGAGAGGAUGAUCAGCCACACUGGCACUGAGAUACGGGCCAGACUCCUACGGGAGGCAGCAGUGAGGAAUAUUGCGCAAUGGGCGAAAGCCUGACGCAGCGACGCCGCGUGGGGGAUGAAGGUUUUCGGAUUGUAAACCCCUUUCAUGAGGAAAGAUAAAGUGGUAACCACUUAGACGGUACCUCAAGAGAAGCCACGGCUAACUUCGUG